RNAcentral lists this ribosomal RNA (424 nucleotides) under Verrucomicrobiota bacterium. RNAcentral describes it as "Verrucomicrobia bacterium partial 16S ribosomal RNA". It matches the Rfam family "Bacterial small subunit ribosomal RNA", at positions 355 to 776 of the family's 1533-position model. The record is from RNAcentral. Lineage: Bacteria; Pseudomonadati; Verrucomicrobiota.
UGAGGAAUAUUGGUCAAUGGACGAGAGUCUGAACCAGCCAAGUAGCGUGCAGGAUGACGGCCCUCUGGGUUGUAAACUGCUUUUGUUUGGGGAUAAGCGACAUUACGUGUAAUGUUUUGCAUGUACAAUUCGAAUAAGUACCGGCUAAUCCCGUGCCAGCAGCCGCGGUAAUACGGUAGGUCCAGGCGUUAUCCGGAUUUAUUGGGUUUAAAGGGAGUGUAGGCGGUUGGUUAAGCGUGUUGUGAAAUGUAGCUGCGCAACAUCUGACUUGCAGCGCGAACUGGCUGACUUGAGUACACACCACGUAGGCGGAAUUCAUGGGGUAGCGGUGAAAUGCUUAGAGAUGAUGAAGAUCUCCGAUUGCGAAGGCAGCUUACGGGAGUGUUACUGACGCUUAAGCUCGAAGGUGCGGGUAUCGAACAGG